This is a small nuclear RNA of Callithrix jacchus (white-tufted-ear marmoset), 156 nucleotides long. Its record names the gene U4. It matches the Rfam family "U4 spliceosomal RNA". Rfam says of the family: U4 small nuclear RNA (U4 snRNA) is a component of the major U2-dependent spliceosome. The structure of U4 snRNA from yeast and human has been reported. The record is from Ensembl. Lineage: Eukaryota; Metazoa; Chordata; Mammalia; Primates; Cebidae.
AGCUUUAUGCAGUGGCAGUAUCAAAGCCAAUUAAGGCUUAUCUGAGGUGUAAUUAUUGCUAAUUGAAAACUUUUCCCAAUACUCCACCAUGAUGACUUGAAAUAUAGUCAGCAUUGGCAAUUUUUGACAGUCUGAAAUUUACAAUUAAAAAAAAGA